Pelobates cultripes (western spadefoot toad) is the source of this 536-nucleotide non-coding RNA. NCBI's taxonomy places the organism in Eukaryota, Metazoa, Chordata, Amphibia, Anura, Pelobatidae. The record is from the annotation of a GenBank genome assembly.
CUGACAGACGGCAGGGGAGGGAGUGAGAGAGGACCCGGGAGCUCAGCCUGCAGCUCCUCCGGGUCCUACUCUCGCGAGCACGGAGCGUUGCCGCAGCCGUUCUGCCAUCCCUGAUGGUCUCAGUGGUGAGAGUGGACUCUGGUAACCGUGGAAACGCUCAGACCUCGCGUGAGGAACCCGGCGGAGCUGCUGGCUAGAGCUCCCGGGGUCCUCUCUCCCUUCCUCCCCAGCCACAUGUCAGUGCCUGUGGGCCGGUGAGGGAGAUCUUUGAUCUCCCCACUGGCCCACAAAGGCACACAGCAGGGUCGGCGUUCGAAUAACGCGGGCCCUGCAUGGGCUGGCUGGGGAGAUCGUGUAUUCUCCCCUGCCGGCCUCGGCCCAUGGCCAUGGCGGAUCAGGACUACUAAUUGAUCUCGCACGUAGAACUGUACCACUCCUAGGAUUAAGUAUAACGUUUAACUGGACCCUAGAAUGGCCGGACUUAACGUAUCCAAGAAUAGUCAAAAUACUUGUCGAGGUCAGGGAUAGAGAAUCAG